UCAUUUAAAUUCAAUCACAGGUUGACCAUGGAAUCCGUUUGGAGUCUAAUCACUUCCUAUAAAUG
Molecule: small RNA, 65 nt
Filed under: marine eukaryotic metagenome
Description: bablM sRNA
Rfam family: bablM sRNA
Source: RNAcentral